This is an RNA transcript of Manduca sexta (tobacco hornworm), 456 nucleotides long. RefSeq lists it as uncharacterized. The transcript is spliced from 4 exons. NCBI's taxonomy places the organism in Eukaryota, Metazoa, Arthropoda, Insecta, Lepidoptera, Sphingidae. The record is from RefSeq and is a predicted model, not a curated record.
AAACAAUUCCUUGUAAUGUCGGACUAGAUUACAGUCGCACGUUGUUUUCGCAUGUUGUGCGUUAUGAUAUUUAGAAAAGUAUUUACUAGUUUAAUCAUUUUAGGUCUUGCUGCGCAAGUUUGGUCACAUGUUGAGAUAGAGGCUGAAGAUUACUUCUUUCCCCUUAGGAGCCAGUAUGUAAUCAAUUUCUGCAAAAUGGCGGAUCAGUGUCAACACGACUUCGUUCCUAUUUGCGGACAGGACUCGCUCGGAAUCACUAGAAUGUUCAACGACAAUUGCGGAUUUAUACGAAUAUAAUUGCGACGAGAAGAAACAAUACCGUCACGUCAAAAUGGAUGUCUGCAAAUACGAAGCAGCAGCGGCUGAGAGAACAAUAUAACUAUAAAUUAACUAUGUUUCUAUAUGUAUUACAUUCAAUGCCUUGUCCUUUUGGGAUAUUUGUUGUAUAAUUUUAAG